This 262-nucleotide small RNA is filed under the name Arabidopsis thaliana (thale cress). RNAcentral describes it as "ATSL025030". The record is from RNAcentral. Lineage: Eukaryota; Viridiplantae; Streptophyta; Magnoliopsida; Brassicales; Brassicaceae.
AUCCCACAUCGGAGAACUUUAAGGAUCUAAUCUAGUAUAUAAGAAGCAUGAGUUAGUGCAUUAAUUAACAAUUGGCUUUUAGCAAGACAAUCAGCACGGACAUUGUUUAAACGUGGAAUAAAAGAUAAAGAAAAACGAGGAAAGCUAGACUUUAAAGAAUAAAAUUUUCUAACUCAGAAGAAAAAGCGGGUCACUCAUCAGAAGUGUCCAAAAGCUGUGUCAACUCCUUGCAAUCUGUCUCAAAACUAUAUAUUACAUGAUA